CUCUGGUCUAUAGUAGUACCACUAUAUAGGGAAUAGGGCUCUGGUCUAUAGUAGUACCACUAUAUAGGGAAUAGGGCUCUGGUCUAUAGUAGUACCACUAUAUAGGGAAUAGGACUCUGGUCUAUAGUAGUACCACUAUAUAGGGAAUAGGGCUCUGGUCUAUAGUAGUACCACUAUAUAGGGAAUAGGGCUCUGGUCUAUAGUAGUGUACUAUAUAGGGAAUAGGGCUCUGGUCUAUAGUAGUACCACUAUAUAGGGAAUAGGGCUCUGGUCUAUAGUAGUACCACUAUAUAGGGAAUAGGGCUCUGGUCUAUAGUAGUGUACUAUAUAGGGAAUAGGGCUCU
Long non-coding RNA from Oncorhynchus tshawytscha (Chinook salmon), 344 nucleotides. Lineage: Eukaryota; Metazoa; Chordata; Actinopteri; Salmoniformes; Salmonidae. The record is from Ensembl.